CCUACGGGAGGCUGCAGUAGGGAAUAUUGCUCAAUGGGGGAAACCCUGAUGCAGCAACGCCGCGUGCAGGAUGAAGGUUUUCGGAUUGUAAACCUCUUUUGUUAGAGAAGAUAAUGACGGUACCUAACGAAUAAGCACCGGCUAACUCCGUGCCAGCAGCCGCGGUAAUACGGAGGGUGCAAGCGUUACUCGGAAUCACUGGGCGUAAAGAGCGCGUAGGCGGGAUAGCAAGUCAGAUGUGAAAUCCUAUGGCUUAACCAUAGAACUGCAUUUGAAACUGUUAUUCUAGAGUAUGGGAGGGGAAGGUGGAAUUCUUGGUGUAGGGGUGAAAUGCGUAGAGAUCAAGAGGAAUACUCAUUGCGAAGGCGAGCUGCUGGAACGUAACUGACGCUGAUGCGCGAAAGCGUGGGGAGCAAACAGGAUUAGAUACCCCAGUAGUC
This 440-nucleotide ribosomal RNA is filed under the name uncultured bacterium. Its description in RNAcentral is "partial 16S ribosomal RNA". It matches the Rfam family "Bacterial small subunit ribosomal RNA", at positions 338 to 795 of the family's 1533-position model. The record is from RNAcentral.